AGCAGUAGGGAAUCUUCCACAAUGGACGGAAGUCUGAUGGAGCAACGCCGCGUGAGUGAAGAAGGGUUUCGGCUCGUAAAACUCUGUUGUUAAAGAAGAACAUAUCUGAGAGUAACUGUUCAGGUAUUGACGGUAUUUAACCAGAAAGCCACGGCUAACUACGUGCCAGCAGCCGCGGUAAUACGUAGGUGGCAAGCGUUGUCCGGAUUUAUUGGGCGUAAAGCGAGCGCAGGCGGUUUUUUAAGUCUGAUGUGAAAGCCUUCGGCUCAACCGAAGAAGUGCAUUGGAAACUGGGAAACUUGAGUGCAGAAGAGGACAGUGGAACUCCAUGUGUAGCGGUGAAAUGCGUAGAUAUAUGGAAGAACACCAGUGGCGAAGGCGGCUGUCUGGUCUGUAACUGACGCUGAGGCUCGAAAGUAUGGGUAGCAAACAGGAUUAGAUACCCUGGUAGUCCAUACCGUAAACGAUGAAUGCUAAGUGUUGGAGGGUUUCCGCCCUUCAGUGCUGCAGCUAACGCAUUAAGUAUUCCGCCUGGGGAGUACGGCCGCAAGGUUGAAACUCAAAGAAAUUUGACGG
This 576-nucleotide ribosomal RNA is filed under the name bacterium FYS4B. RNAcentral's name for it is "bacterial SSU rRNA". It matches the Rfam family "Bacterial small subunit ribosomal RNA", at positions 350 to 916 of the family's 1533-position model. The record is from RNAcentral.